UACUAUGGCCAUGCUACCCUGAACAAGCCCGGUCUCGUCUGAUCUCAGAAGCUAAGCAGGGUCGGGCCUGGUUAGUACUUGGAUGGGAGACCACCUAGGAGGACCAGGUGCUGUAGGUG
This 119-nucleotide ribosomal RNA is filed under the name Pteropus alecto (black flying fox). Lineage: Eukaryota; Metazoa; Chordata; Mammalia; Chiroptera; Pteropodidae. The record is from RNAcentral.